AUUGAACGCUGGCGGCAUGCCUUACACAUGCAAGUCGAACGGUAACAGGCCUUCGGAUGCUGACGAGUGGCGAACGGGUGAGUAAUACAUCGGAACGUGCCCGAGAGUGGGGGAUAACGAAGCGAAAGCUUUGCUAAUACCGCAUACGAUCUCAGGAUGAAAGCAGGGGACCGCAAGGCCUUGCGCUCACGGAGCGGCCGAUGGCAGAUUAGGUAGUUGGUGGGAUAAAAGCUUACCAAGCCGACGAUCUGUAGCUGGUCUGAGAGGACGACCAGCCACACUGGGACUGAGACACGGCCCAGACUCCUACGGGAGGCAGCAGUGGGGAAUUUUGGACAAUGGGCGCAAGCCUGAUCCAGCCAUGCCGCGUGCAGGAUGAAGGCCUUCGGGUUGUAAACUGCUUUUGUACGGAACGAAAAGACUCUGGUUAAUACCUGGGGUCCAUGACGGUACCGUAAGAAUAAGCACCGGCUAACUACGUGCCAGCAGCCGCGGUAAUACGUAGGGUGCGAGCGUUAAUCGGAAUUACUGGGCGUAAAGCGUGCGCAGGCGGUUAUGUAAGACAGAUGUGAAAUCCCCGGGCUCAACCUGGGAACUGCAUUUGUGACUGCAUAGCUAGAGUACGGCAGAGGGGGAUGGAAUUCCGCGUGUAGCAGUGAAAUGCGUAGAUAUGCGGAGGAACACCGAUGGCGAAGGCAAUCCCCUGGGCCUGUACUGACGCUCAUGCACGAAA
Molecule: ribosomal RNA, 733 nt
Filed under: uncultured beta proteobacterium
Lineage: Bacteria; Pseudomonadati; Pseudomonadota; Betaproteobacteria
Description: bacterial SSU rRNA
Rfam family: Bacterial small subunit ribosomal RNA
Source: RNAcentral